RNAcentral lists this ribosomal RNA (1355 nucleotides) under uncultured bacterium. Its description in RNAcentral is "bacterial SSU rRNA". It matches the Rfam family "Bacterial small subunit ribosomal RNA", at positions 28 to 1381 of the family's 1533-position model. The record is from RNAcentral.
AUUGAACGCUGGCGGCAGGCUUAACACAUGCAAGUCGAACGAUGAUUUCCCAGCUUGCUGGGAAUGAUUAGUGGCGGACGGGUGAGUAACAUUUAGGAAUCUGCCUAGUAGUGGGGGAUAGCUCGGGGAAACUCGAAUUAAUACCGCAUACGACCUACGGGUGAAAGGGGGCGCAAGCUCUUGCUAUUAGAUGAGCCUAAAUCAGAUUAGCUAGUUGGUGGGGUAAAGGCCCACCAAGGCGACGAUCUGUAACUGGUCUGAGAGGAUGAUCAGUCACACCGGAACUGAGACACGGUCCGGACUCCUACGGGAGGCAGCAGUGGGGAAUAUUGGACAAUGGGGGCAACCCUGAUCCAGCCAUGCCGCGUGUGUGAAGAAGGCCUUUUGGUUGUAAAGCACUUUAAGCAGGGAGGAGAGGCUAAUGGUUAAUACCCAUUAGAUUAGACGUUACCUGCAGAAUAAGCACCGGCUAACUCUGUGCCAGCAGCCGCGGUAAUACAGAGGGUGCGAGCGUUAAUCGGAAUUACUGGGCGUAAAGCGAGUGUAGGUGGCUCAUUAAGUCACAUGUGAAAUCCCCGGGCUUAACCUGGGAACUGCAUGUGAUACUGGUGGUGCUAGAAUAUGUGAGAGGGAAGUAGAAUUCCAGGUGUAGCGGUGAAAUGCGUAGAGAUCUGGAGGAAUACCGAUGGCGAAGGCAGCUUCCUGGCAUAAUAUUGACACUGAGAUUCGAAAGCGUGGGUAGCAAACAGGAUUAGAUACCCUGGUAGUCCACGCCGUAAACGAUGUCUACUAGCCGUUGGGGUCCUUGAGACUUUAGUGGCGCAGUUAACGCGAUAAGUAGACCGCCUGGGGAGUACGGCCGCAAGGUUAAAACUCAAAUGAAUUGACGGGGGCCCGCACAAGCGGUGGAGCAUGUGGUUUAAUUCGAUGCAACGCGAAGAACCUUACCUGGUCUUGACAUAGUGAGAAUCUCUCAGAGAUGAGAGAGUGCCUUCGGGAACUCACAUACAGGUGCUGCAUGGCUGUCGUCAGCUCGUGUCGUGAGAUGUUGGGUUAAGUCCCGCAACGAGCGCAACCCUUUUCCUUAUUUGCCAGCGGGUUAAGCCGGGAACUUUAAGGAUACUGCCAGUGACAAACUGGAGGAAGGCGGGGACGACGUCAAGUCAUCAUGGCCCUUACGACCAGGGCUACACACGUGCUACAAUGGUAGGUACAGAGGGUUGCUACACAGCGAUGUGAUGCUAAUCUCAAAAAGCCUAUCGUAGUCCGGAUUGGAGUCUGCAACUCGACUCCAUGAAGUCGGAAUCGCUAGUAAUCGCAGAUCAGAAUGCUGCGGUGAAUACGUUCCCGGCCCU